Non-coding RNA from Malus domestica (apple), 4182 nucleotides. The record is from RefSeq and is a predicted model, not a curated record. Lineage: Eukaryota; Viridiplantae; Streptophyta; Magnoliopsida; Rosales; Rosaceae.
GAAAUUAUUUAGAUUUUCUUGGUUUUCUUUCGUUGGCAUUUUGCAUUUAAAUUCAAUCUUUGCUAUUGUUUCUCUUUGGGGGAGUUAACUACUACCAAUAUAUGUACACACACACACACAUACAUACUAUCCUAUUUUCACCUGGUCUCAAUACAUGGCUAAUUGCUUGCCUGCACACUAAGGGGUUAAGUUGGACAUCCAAAAGUAUGACUAUAGAUGUCCCCACCAGAGAUAUACCCUCUCCACAAGCUUUAAUUAAGCCAAAGAACACCUUAGUAAUGGUGGAAUUGUUAAAUCUAUUCAUAAACCAUUCCCAUCACUCAUUAAUUAGAUUUAAUGGUACCCCCACUCCUAACGUGUUAUUUGGCUAAAGCAUGUGGAGAGGGUGCAUCUUUGGUGGUAGCAUCUCUGUUUAUACUUUUGGAUGUCCAUCUUAAACCACUCAGUGUAUAGUCAAGUGAUUAAUCAUGCAUUUAGAAUAGGUCAAAAGAAUAAAGUCUGUGUAUAAAUUAGUAACAGUUGAAAGAUGGAAGUGAUGUUAUUCCUCCAAAUGAUGAAGACUGAAAUAACUUGGAAAAUUACCAAACCAACUAAAUCUGAUCCAUCUUUUUACACCCUUAUAUUUAAUUUUUACAAUGAAAAUGCUAAGAAGUUAACUACUAAUCAGUAAUGUUAAUUGUUUAGAUUACUUUUCCAUGCUCCUUACAAUCUCACGGUAAUUUUCCUUGCAUGAUCAUUCAGUUAUAAGAUAGUAUAUUCAAUUUCUAAUCCCACACAAUUGUACUACACAUAAAUACAGACUUAAUACUUAUUUAAAGCAUAUUCUCAUCUUUUUAAUCCACUUUGAAUGUUAGUAUUCAAUUUUCUCCAGUUGGGCUCAUCAAAUUUGAUUAUAAUGUUAACUCUCUAUCAUACUUAUUUAAAAUGAGCGUACAAUUUAGGUUGCUGAUAGGUUUCCUCAUUUCUUCAUUGGUAAUCUGUAUUUUUGCUUAUUUUUCAUUCUUGGGAGUUUUGUGAAGACUUAAUGUGUUCAACUUCUUUUUUUUUUUCAAUUUCUAUCAACUUCUUUUUUUUCAAUUUCUAUUCUCUGUGGUUUUCUAUCAUGUGAUUCGAGUGUCAUGUAAUUACAGGUUCUAAUAUAAUUUUUCCAGUGCCUUAACAACAAAUUAUGUCACUGUUGAUAUUGCAGAUGAUCAACUUGCACAAAUUACAAGCAAUACCAAACCAGCCCUUCAUCUCUUCUAUCGUUCACCGCUUCACCGCAGAAAAACUUAAACCACAUCCCUGUCAAGUUUCAAUCACCAUCUCUCAGCUUUGUGAUCUGUAGACUGCUACAGAAGCUUGAUUUGUUCAAGUCGGCAAUAACUGUAGAGGUAAGCUCUCUGAUAAAUCUUCUAAUUCACUCUUUAUUUCCACUGCUGACGAUGCCGAUCGAAUUCAAUUACAGAGCCUGCACCAUCCCCUACAUAUUCCCUUCCAACAAUCCCCGCAAGCCCACUCCCACUGAGCUCUCCUGGAUCGACCUCUUCUACAAUUCCACCCCCUCCUUCAAGAAACGAGCUGAGUCUGACGCUUCGGUUCCCGACGCUCCGGCAAGAGCUAAGAAAUUUGCUCAAAGAUACACACUUUACUGAUUGUUUUGCGAUGAGUGAAUUGGGUUUUCGGAAAUGCCUGCAAUUUUUUGUAUUUUUGCCUGAAGGGUACACUGAGAUACUGGAGGACUUGAAAAAGGAUCCUGAGAGUCACGGCGGCCCGCCGGAUUGCAUUCUUCUUUGCAGACUUCGGGAGCAAGUUCUUAGGGAGUUGGGAUUCCAAGAUAUAUUCAAGAAAGUUGAGGAUGAAGAGAAUGCCAAGGCAAUAUCCCUGUUUGAGAAUGUAUUGGAUCUUAAUGAUGCUAUUGAAGAUGAAGUCAAGGUUCUAAAAUCCUACGUUCCUUAUUUUUGGUUUUUGGGAUGGUUGUGCUUUUGUGUAAAGCUGGAUCUGCAGGGUGUUGGUCUCUGUUAUCAUCGGCGAUCCCACAGUUGGGACUGUUGUCAUACAAGUUGAAUUGAACUCAGGCUAAAAUGUUGUUGUUUUCUGAAGCCCUCUGUACUCAAGCUAAGUUCCAUUGCGUACUCGGAUGAGUUGGUUUGUUCUAAGUUUCGGAUAAAGAAUUAUUCCCAUCUGGGUAUAUAUACAUUCAACUCCAAACAUUAUAUAACCGAAGGUAUGCAAGAAUCAAUGUUGAUUUAAAUAGAGAGUAUUCUGUAUGUAUUAAAAAACAUUUGACACCAGAGUAAACCUAUUUAACUAUUGACUUAUCAGUUCUGAUCAUUUUUCUCCCCUCAAACAAAAUGCAAUUUUAACCGUGCAAGGUUAGGAAUAUGCACCUCUCUCCUUGGGGUUUUCAGUGAUGUGUUUUAAUAGAAUUAUAGAUUUGAGUAAUUAGAUAUUUCAGUGCUGUUAUUUUUUUUUAACAAUUUAUGAUGCUAUGUGUAAAAAUUGGUUAGGUAUUUUUUUAACAACUAUAAUAUCAUUUAAUUCCAAUUCAUAAUUACUUCUUUUGUUAAUCUGAUAGUAAAUUUUUAUACUUUAUGUCCAAAUACAUAUAUAGUAAUGUAUACAUAUAACUUAUUAAGUUUUUUAAUGUUGCUGAGCAUUUUGAGUGUUCAUUUUGUGUGUAGAGAGUGAAAAGUGCACUGCUCACAAAGGCAAACAAAGAAUAGCUUCUACAUAUGGGAAGAAGAGUGGUUGGUUGAUCGUGGUUGCUUUUUUGAUUCGGUUAAAUUGAAGUUGGCUUGCGUCUAAUUUAGUUGUUUGCUUGCACAGGUUGAAGUCACUAGCUUUAUUAAUGCUGGUGACCGAGAUAAAACCCGAGUUCAUGUUAAAAUGAUAUCAUAAUUUUCGUUAUAUUGAGAACUGAGAAUUUAGACCCUUUUUUUAUCUUUCCCAUUUUUGAAAUUUAAAAAUUGAAUUACUUUUCUAUACCUUUUUGUGAUCAUACACUGAGAAUUUGUUAAUUGUAUAAAAUGAGAAUUGUUAUUAGCAUUCCAAAACUCUCAUUCUACACUCCAAACUUUCUAUAUUAGAAAAGAAAAAUACACUUGUGAGGAGUGUAGAAUGAGAUUUUUGGAGUGCCAAUAACACUUCCCUUAAUAUUAUGAGGUAGGAUUUAUACUUUCUAAGAUCCAUUUCUCAUGUUUAGAGAUUGCUUGAUUUAAUUACAUGUGAUAUAAGUUGAUGUGUUUAUACCUGUACAACAUAAUUUUUCACAUAAUUUCUAAUCCUGCAGCAACGCGCGGGCAAAACUUUCUAGUGGGCUCUAAAGCUCAAGCGUGUGAAAUAUGAGUACAUAGAACAGGACAUUUUUAACAAGAGUGAACUUCUGUUGCAGUGCAAUCCAGUUUACAAGAAGGUUCCGGUGCUUUUUCACCGGGGAAAACCGAUUUCCGAGUUGAUUGCCAUCCUUGAAUGCAUAGAAGAAACUUGGCCAGAGAAUCAUCUGCUGCCUGAAGAUGCUUAUGAAAGAGCCUUGGCUCGGUUUUGGAUACAAUUCCAUGUAUGUCAGAUUCCCAGUUUUAAUGCAUUUUUCGGAUUAACUGCCGGAGAAGAUCGACAAAAGACAAUCGAAUCAGUGUUGGAAACGCUGAAAAUAUUGGAAGAGCAAGGGCUUGGUGACAAGAAGUUUUGGGGGUGAUAGUAUAAACUUGGUAGACAUAACGCAUGGAUGGCUGGCUCUUUAUUUCGAAGCCGUUGAAGAAAUGGUGGGUGUCAAAUUGCUCGAGCCAAGCACCUUGCCUCGAUUGCAUGCAUGGGUUCAGAAUUUCAAGCAAGUUCCUGUCAUCAGAGACAACCUUCCUAACUACCAAAUAUUGGUUGCUCAUAUGAAACGCGCAAGGGAAAUGCUUGUCCCUCAGAUCUGAGAUAUUCUGUGGAUUCAGUUUGUGUAUCAGCAGCCUCAUGACUAGAAUAAUAAUAAUGAGAAACUAUCACGUAGAUACACUCUCUCUCCUUACCUCUCUCUUUUAGGUGAUCUUAUUUCAGUUUAUAUUCUCCAACUGCGAUUGCCGCCACGGCCCCCGCGGUCACCACCACUGCCGUGUUAAACGUAAUGCACUUUCUCCCUGUUACAAAGCAUACUAUCAAGGCUAUUUGUUUGUAUAACCUUUAUUGAAUAUCAAGAGACAUCUUCUUCUUUUUUUU